GUGGGAGUAGCUCAGCUGGCAGAGCACCGGGUUGUGGCCCCGGAGGUCGCGGGUUCAAGUCCCGUCUCUCACCCCA
This 76-nucleotide transfer RNA is filed under the name Candidatus Solincola sediminis. Its description in RNAcentral is "Actinobacteria bacterium RBG_16_55_12 tRNA-His". It matches the Rfam family "tRNA". From Rfam's summary of the family: Transfer RNA (tRNA) molecules are approximately 80 nucleotides in length. The record is from RNAcentral. Lineage: Bacteria; Bacillati; Actinomycetota; Candidatus Geothermincolia; Candidatus Geothermincolales; Candidatus Geothermincolaceae.